Molecule: ribosomal RNA, 421 nt
Filed under: uncultured bacterium
Lineage: Bacteria
Description: bacterial SSU rRNA
Rfam family: Archaeal small subunit ribosomal RNA
Source: RNAcentral
CGCCAGCAGCCGCGGUAAUACCGGCGGCUCGAGUGGUGGCCGAUAUUAUUGAGUCUAAAGGGUCCGUAGCCGGCUUCGCAAGUCCCCUGGGAAAUCCAGCGGCUUAACCGUUGGUCGUCCAUGGGAUACUACGUUGCUUGGGACUGGGAGAGGUGGGAGGUACUCGGGGGGUAGGGGUGAAAUCCUGUAAUCCUCCGGGGACCACCGGUGGCGAAGGCGUCCUACCAGAACAGGUCCGACGGUGAGGGACGAAAGCUAGGGGCACGAACCGGAUUAGAUACCCGGGUAGUCCUAGCCGUAAACGAUGCCCGCUAGGUGUCACGACAGUCGUGAAUUAUCGUGGUGCCGUAGGGAAGCCGCGAAGCGGGCCACUUGGGAAGUACGACCGCAAGGUUGAAACUUAAAGGAAUUGGCGGGGGAC